GCGGAGGAAAAGAAACCAAACCGGAUGCCCCCAGUAGCGGCGAGCGAACAGGGCGGAACCCAGACAUGGAAACGCGAUGUGCGUCGCGUGUUGUCGUGUGUCGACUACCCAUGGCGCUUCCGACGCCCUCCGACGAAAUGGCCAUGGAGCUGGCUGCCACAGGUGGGUGAGAGACCCGAUCGGAGGGCGUUCGAUGCGUCGUCGGGGACGUCGUCGGAGUCGAACUGUUUGAGAUCGCAGUUCAAAAGGGUGGUGAGCGCCAUCCAAGGUUAAAUAUCAGCGGGAAUCCGAUAGCGAAGAAGUACCGUGAGGGAAAGCUGAAAAGGACUUUGGAAAGAGAGUGAAAAGUACCCGAAACCGCGCAUGCGGAACCGCUUUCGACGACGUCUCGGACGUGCGUCCGUCCGCCGACGGGCGGUUCGUCGCGGGGAGUUUCCUCGCGUCGUCCGCCCGCGUCCCUCGGACCUUUCGUCGCAAG
This 478-nucleotide ribosomal RNA is filed under the name Rhipiliopsis reticulata. RNAcentral's name for it is "eukaryotic LSU rRNA". It matches the Rfam family "Eukaryotic large subunit ribosomal RNA", at positions 50 to 644 of the family's 3401-position model. The record is from RNAcentral. Lineage: Eukaryota; Viridiplantae; Chlorophyta; Ulvophyceae; Bryopsidales; Halimedaceae.